UUGUAGUGAUGACGAUCGAAUAGUUUCAAGUGUCAUCUCCACCUGCCUCAUAGUAGGUCGUUCAUCUGCUUUCAACUUGACACAUGCCACGGCUAACAUGGCUACUUCUUUAACCUCUUUACCUCCCUCUUCAUUCAUCUGAGGAUCAAGUAUGUCACCCAAGUUGCCAUGUGUGAGUAGGGCAGUGAAAUGUGCAACAAGACUAUCAUCCUCAGGCGAUCUAUAUGAGUAUGGUUUCUUCCUGGUAAGUAGCUCUAUUAGAACAACACCGAAACUAAAAACAUCACUUUUCUCUGUGAGACGUCCUGUGUAGUAGUACAUGGGGUCUAGGUAUCCUAGUGUUCCUUGAAUUGCGGUUGUGACCCCAUUUUGUUCAGCAGGAAUACACCUUGAAGCUCCAAAGUCUGACACUUUUGUUGUUAGCGAGCCAUCUAAUAAGAUGUUAUGGGACUUGAUAUCCCUGUGGAUUAUAGGGAAUGACACUGCCGAGUGAAGGUAGGCAAGUGCUCUAGCGGUUUCGGUUGUAAUUCUAAGCCUAUAUUCCCAUGGCAAUGAUGUUGGUCCUUCAACAUGAAGAUGGUCAUAAAGGGUACCAUUUGAUAUAAAUUCAUAGACCAACAAUGGCACUUCUGUCUCGAGGCAACAUCCAAAAAGUUUGACCACAUUACGAUGGUUGAUUUGUGAGAGAAUGGCUACCUCGUUUAUGAACUCAUCAAUCUCCCUUUGGACUGCUACCUUUGAUUUCUUGAUCGCAACAACGUGAAGAUCCGAUAAAAUCCCUUUGUACACAGUGCCAUGCCCUCCUCCUCCAAGCUUACGCGAUUCAUCAAAAUUGUUUGUGGCCUUCUCCAGUUCUGCCAAAGGGAUGAUCAUCCUUUCAGCAAUAUCAGCCUUUUGAGAUACCAACUGUUCCAACAAAUGGCCACGGUUCUGUUUGAAGAACUUCUGUCUCAGCAUUCUUGCUCUCCGAUUCUU
This 975-nucleotide small RNA is filed under the name Oryza sativa Japonica Group (Japanese rice). RNAcentral's name for it is "sRNA Os09g0561466". Lineage: Eukaryota; Viridiplantae; Streptophyta; Magnoliopsida; Poales; Poaceae. The record is from RNAcentral.